This 484-nucleotide ribosomal RNA is filed under the name uncultured bacterium. Its description in RNAcentral is "partial 16S ribosomal RNA". It matches the Rfam family "Bacterial small subunit ribosomal RNA", at positions 28 to 507 of the family's 1533-position model. The record is from RNAcentral.
AUUGAACGCUGGCGGCAUGCUUUACACAUGCAAGUCGAACGGCAGCGCGGGCUUCGGCCUGGCGGCGAGUGGCGAACGGGUGAGUAAUGCAUCGGAACGUGCCCAGUAGUGGGGGAUAGCCCGGCGAAAGCCGGAUUAAUACCGCAUACGACCUGAGGGUGAAAGCGGGGGACCGAAAGGCCUCGCGCUAUUGGAGCAGCCGAUGUCGGAUUAGCUAGUUGGUGGGGUAAAGGCUUACCAAGGCGACGAUCCGUAGCUGGUCUGAGGGGACGACCAGCCAACACGGGACUGAGGACCGGCCCCGACUCCUUAGGGAGGCAGGCGUGGGGAAUUUUGGACAAUGGGGGCAACCCUGAUCCAGCCAUGCCGCGUGCGGGAAGAAGGCCUUCGGGUUGUAAACCGCUUUUGUUCGGGAAGAAAUCCUCUGGGCUAAUACCCCGGGGGGAUGACGGUACCGGAAGAAUAAGCACCGGCUAACUACGUG